AAGUCGUAACAAGGUUUCCGUAGGUGAACCUGCGGAAGGAUCAUUACCGAGAAAGGGUCCGAUUCUUCAGGGCCCGACCUCCAACCCACUGCUCACAUACUCACGUUGCCUCGACGGAACGACGGCCCCCUCGAAAGAGGGGUGCCGCCCCCGGUCCCCACCUGGGGGCUUGGGAGCGUCCGUCGGUGGAAUAUCACCGAAACCCUGAUAAAACGCCCCUCUGAGUCGAAAAAUAAUACUUCAAAA
This 246-nucleotide unclassified non-coding RNA is filed under the name plant metagenome. RNAcentral describes it as "partial contains small subunit ribosomal RNA and internal transcribed spacer 1". The stretch from base 1 to 46 matches the Rfam family "Eukaryotic small subunit ribosomal RNA", at positions 1786 to 1831 of the family's 1831-position model. The record is from RNAcentral.